This 434-nucleotide ribosomal RNA is filed under the name uncultured Clostridium sp. RNAcentral's name for it is "partial 16S ribosomal RNA". It matches the Rfam family "Bacterial small subunit ribosomal RNA", at positions 341 to 792 of the family's 1533-position model. The record is from RNAcentral. Lineage: Bacteria; Bacillati; Bacillota; Clostridia; Eubacteriales; Clostridiaceae.
ACGGAAGGCAGCAGUGGGGAAUAUUGCACAAUGGGCGAAAGCCUGAUGCAGCGACGCCGCGUGAGUGAAGAAGUAUCUCGGUAUGUAAAGCUCUAUCAGCAGGGAAGAAAAUGACGGUACCUGACUAAGAAGCCCCGGCUAACUACGUGCCAGCAGCCGCGGUAAUACGUAGGGGGCAAGCGUUAUCCGGAUUUACUGGGUGUAAAGGGAGCGUAGACGGUUUGGCAAGUCUGAAGUGAAAUGCGGGGGCUCAACUCCUGAACUGCUUUGGAAACUGUCGAACUAGAGUGCAGGAGAGGUAAGUGGAAUUCCUAGUGUAGCGGUGAAAUGCGUAGAUAUUAGGAGGAACUCCAGUGACGAAGGCGGCUUACUGGACUGUAACCGACGUUGAGGCUCGAAAGCGUGGGGAGCAAACAGGAUUAGAUACCCUGGUA